This 447-nucleotide ribosomal RNA is filed under the name uncultured bacterium. Its description in RNAcentral is "partial 16S ribosomal RNA". It matches the Rfam family "Bacterial small subunit ribosomal RNA", at positions 329 to 793 of the family's 1533-position model. The record is from RNAcentral.
GACCAGACUCCUACGGGAGGCAGCAGUGGGGGAUAUUGCACAAUGGGGGAAACCCUGAUGCAGCGACGCCGCGUGGGUGAAGGAGCACCUCGGUGCGUAAAGCCCUAUCGGCAGGGAAGAAACAGACGGUACCUGACUAAGAAGCCCCGGCUAACUACGUGCCAGCAGCCGCGGGAAUACGUAGGGGGCAAGCGUUAUCCGGAUUUACUGGGUGUAAAGGGGGCGCAGACGGCAGCGCAAGCCAGGAGUGAAAGCCCGGGGCCCAACCCCGGGACUGCUCUUGGAACUGCGCGGCUGGAGUGCAGGAGGGGCAGGCGGAAUUCCUGGUGUAGCGGUGAAAUGCGUAGAUAUCAGGAGGAACACCGGUGGCGAAGGCGGCCUGCUGGACUGCGACUGACGUUGAGGCCCGAAAGCGUGGGGAGCAAACAGGAUUAGAUACCCCAGUAC